GAUGAACGCUGGCGGCGUGCUUAACACAUGCAAGUCGAACGGAAAGGCCACAGCUUGCUGUGGUGCUCGAGUGGCGAACGGGUGAGUAACACGUGGGUGAUCUGCCCUGUACUUCGGGAUAAGCUUGGGAAACUGGGUCUAAUACCGGAUAGGAAUCACAUGUGGGUGUGUGGUUGGAAAGCUUUUGCGGUAUGGGAUGAGCUCGCGGCCUAUCAGCUUGUUGGUGGGGUAAUGGCCUACCAAGGCGUCGACGGGUAGCCGGCCUGAGAGGGUGUACGGCCACAUUGGGACUGAGAUACGGCCCAGACUCCUACGGGAGGCAGCAGUGGGGAAUAUUGCACAAUGGGCGCAAGCCUGAUGCAGCGACGCCGCGUGGGGGAUGACGGCCUUCGGGUUGUAAACUCCUUUCGUCAGGGACGAAGCGAAAGUGACGGUACCUGGAGAAGAAGCACCGGCUAACUACGUG
Molecule: ribosomal RNA, 466 nt
Filed under: uncultured bacterium
Lineage: Bacteria
Description: partial 16S ribosomal RNA
Rfam family: Bacterial small subunit ribosomal RNA
Source: RNAcentral